UACGGAGGGUGCAAGCGUUAUCCGGAUUCACUGGGUUUAAAGGGUGCGUAGGUGGGUAUGUAAGUCAGUGGUGAAAUCCCCGAGCUUAACUCAGAAACUGCCAUGGAUACUAUUUGUCUUGAAUGUUGUGGAGGUAAGCGGAAUAUGUCAUGUAGCGGUGAAAUGCUUAGAUAUGACAUAGAACACCAAUUGCGAAGGCAGCUUACUACACAAAUAUUGACGCUGAGGCACGAAAGCGUGGGGAUCAAACAGG
Molecule: ribosomal RNA, 253 nt
Filed under: uncultured bacterium
Lineage: Bacteria
Description: partial 16S ribosomal RNA
Rfam family: Bacterial small subunit ribosomal RNA
Source: RNAcentral